Molecule: ribosomal RNA, 497 nt
Filed under: uncultured bacterium
Lineage: Bacteria
Description: partial 16S ribosomal RNA
Rfam family: Bacterial small subunit ribosomal RNA
Source: RNAcentral
GAUGAACGCUGGCGGCGUGCCUAAUACAUGCAAGUCGAGCGAACAGACGAGGAUCUUGCUCCUCUGACGUUAGCGGCGGACGGGUGAGUCACACGUGGAUAACCUACCUAUAAGACUGGGAUAACUUCGGGAAACCGGAGCUAAUACCGGAUAAUAUAUUGAACCGCAUGGUUCAAUAGUGAAAGACGGUUUUGCUGUCACUUAUAGAUGGAUCCGCGCCGCAUUAGCUAGUUGGUAAGGUAACGGCUUACCAAGGCAACGAUGCGUAGCCGACCUGAGAGGGUGAUCGGCCACACUGGAACUGAGACACGGUCCAGACUCCUACGGGAGGCAGCAGUAGGGAAUCUUCCGCAAUGGGCGAAAGCCUGACGGAGCAACGCCGCGUGAGUGAUGAAGGUCUUCGGAUCGUAAAACUCUGUUAUUAGGGAAGAACAAAUGUGUAAGUAACUAUGCACGUCUUGACGGUACCUAAUCAGAAAGCCACGGCUAACUACGUG